CGGGUGAGUAAUACAUCGGAACGUGUCUUCUAGUGGGGGAUAACUGCCCGAAAGGGCAGCUAAUACCGCAUGAGACCUGAGGGUGGAAAGCGGGGGAUCGCAAGACCUCGCGCUGGAAGAGCGGCCGAUGUCCGAUUAGCUAGUUGGUGAGGUAAAGGCUCACCAAGGCGACGAUCGGUAGCUGGUCUGAGAGGACGACCAGCCACACUGGGACUGAGACACGGCCCAG
This 229-nucleotide ribosomal RNA is filed under the name uncultured bacterium. RNAcentral describes it as "partial 16S ribosomal RNA". It matches the Rfam family "Bacterial small subunit ribosomal RNA", at positions 103 to 334 of the family's 1533-position model. The record is from RNAcentral.